GAAUAAGGUAGCAGUUGGACUAUAUUAAGAUAAGAAACACUCACGAGAGAAAUUCAUCAUUUUUUUUUGGGUAAAUCUUACUGCUGAACAAAAAUUCUUGAUAUUGUGAUAAGAAAUUCCCCCUGAAAAUUGAUCGAGAGCAUUUAAACAGCUCCCAAAUUGAAUCAGUGUGAAAUCAUCCACGAAAGAAUUAGGAAUCAAGUCUAAAAAAAAAUCUUAAAAUGAAGUGUAUUGUGAUAGUUUUAAUUCUACUUUGCGGCCAAUCUUUGGCACAACAAACAACAUUUUCUUAUGGGCAAGGGGAGGAAGGGCAGCAUCUUUUGGGUUAUGAUUUUGGUGCAACAUAUACAACGGAAACGUCUCAACCACAUCAAGUAGUUCUUCGAUUUAGUGGACCUCUGGGCACACGAAUUACACAAAUUCAUGGAAAUGUCUAUCCAUCUUGGACAUUUGUAGAACGACCAUCUGCCCUCCAGCAUGAGUUCUACUUUUCAGUUGGGAACAAUAACGCAACGUUCAUGUGGGCUGAUAUGUAUGUUUUUGGAUUUCCACCAAAUCCAUAAUUAAAGAAUUAAGACUUUGAAUUUUAA
Lutzomyia longipalpis is the source of this 590-nucleotide long non-coding RNA. RefSeq lists it as uncharacterized. The transcript has 2 exons. NCBI's taxonomy places the organism in Eukaryota, Metazoa, Arthropoda, Insecta, Diptera, Psychodidae. The record is from RefSeq and is a predicted model, not a curated record.